GAUGAACGCUGGCGGCGUGCCUAAUACAUGCAAGUCGAGCGAACAGACGAGGAGCUUGCUCCUCUGACGUUAGCGGCGGACGGGUGAGUAACACGUGGAUAACCUACCUAUAAGACUGGGAUAACUUCGGGAAACCGGAGCUAAUACCGGAUAACAUGUUGAACCGCAUGGUUUAACAGUGAAAGACGGUCUUGCUGUCACUUAUAGAUGGAUCCGCGCCGCAUUAGCUAGUUGGUAAGGUAACGGCUUACCAAGGCAACGAUGCGUAGCCGACCUGAGAGGGUGAUCGGCCACACUGGAACUGAGACACGGUCCAGACUCCUACGGGAGGCAGCAGUAGGGAAUCUUUCGCAAAGGGCGAAAGCCUGACGGAGCAACGCCGCGUGAGUGAAGAAGGUCUUCGGAUCGUAAAACUCUGUUAUUAGGGAAGAACAAAUGUGUAAGUAACUAUGCACGUCUUGACGGUACCUAAUCAGAAAGCCACGGCUAACUACGUG
Molecule: ribosomal RNA, 497 nt
Filed under: uncultured bacterium
Lineage: Bacteria
Description: partial 16S ribosomal RNA
Rfam family: Bacterial small subunit ribosomal RNA
Source: RNAcentral